This 474-nucleotide ribosomal RNA is filed under the name uncultured organism. Its description in RNAcentral is "partial 16S ribosomal RNA". It matches the Rfam family "Bacterial small subunit ribosomal RNA", at positions 335 to 800 of the family's 1533-position model. The record is from RNAcentral.
ACUCCUACGGGAGGCAGCAGUGGGGAAUUUUGGACAAUGGGCGAAAGCCUGAUCCAGCAAUGCCGCGUGAGUGAAGAAGGCCUUCGGGUUGUAAAGCUCUUUUGUCAGGGAAGAAACGGUGAGAGCUAAUAUCUUUUGCUAAUGACGGUACCUGAAGAAUAAGCACCGGCUAACUACGUGCCAGCAGCCGCGGUAAUACGUAGGGUGCAAGCGUUAAUCGGAAUUACUGGGCGUAAAGCGUGCGCAGGCGGUUUUGUAAGUCUGAUGUGAAAUCCCCGGGCUCAACCUGGGAAUUGCAUUGGAGACUGCAAGGCUAGAAUCUGGCAGAGGGGGGUAGAAUUCCACGUGUAGCAGUGAAAUGCGUAGAUAUGUGGAGGAACACCGAUGGCGAAGGCAGCCCCCUGGGUCAAGAUUGACGCUCAUGCACGAAAGCGUGGGGAGCAAACAGGAUUAGAAACCCUAGUAGUCCCAUGA